AUACGGAGGGUCCAAGCGUUAUCCGGAAUCAUUGGGUUUAAAGGGUCCGCAGGCGGUCAGUUAAGUCAGAGGUGAAAGCCCAUCGCUCAACGAUGGAACUGCCUUUGAUACUGGUUGACUUGAGUUAUACGGAAGUAGAUAGAAUAAGUAGUGUAGCGGUGAAAUGCAUAGAUAUUACUUAGAAUACCGAUUGCGAAGGCAGUCUACUACGUAUAUACUGACGCUGAGGGACGAAAGCGUGGGGAGCGAACAGGAUUAGAAACCCUAGUAGUCC
RNAcentral lists this ribosomal RNA (274 nucleotides) under uncultured bacterium. RNAcentral's name for it is "partial 16S ribosomal RNA". It matches the Rfam family "Bacterial small subunit ribosomal RNA", at positions 523 to 796 of the family's 1533-position model. The record is from RNAcentral.